RNAcentral lists this ribosomal RNA (250 nucleotides) under uncultured bacterium. RNAcentral describes it as "partial 16S ribosomal RNA". It matches the Rfam family "Bacterial small subunit ribosomal RNA", at positions 524 to 773 of the family's 1533-position model. The record is from RNAcentral.
UACGGGGGAUGCAAGCGUUAUCCGGAAUCAUUGGGCGUAAAGCGCCUGUAGGUUGUUUAAUAAGUCUGUUGUUAAAGACUAGGGCUCAACCCUAGAAAAGCAAUGGAAACUACUAGACUAGAGUAUGGCAGGGGUAGAGGGAAUUUCUAGUGUAGCGGUGAAAUGCGUAGAUAUUAGAAAGAACACCGGUGGCGAAAGCGCUCUACUGGACCAUUACUGACACUCAGAGGCGAAAGCUAGGGUAGCAAAA